GACGAACGCUGGCGGCGUGCCUAACACAUGCAAGUUGAGCGACGAACCAGGGCUUGCCCUGGGGCAAAGCAGCGAACGGGUGAGUAACACGUGGGUAACCUACCCCGAUAACCGGGACAACCCGAGGAAACUCGGGCUAAUACCGGAUGUGCUCACUGGACUUCGGUUCAGUGCGUAAAGGAAGCUUCGGCCUCCGUAUCGGGAGGGGACCGCGGCCCAUUAGUUUGUUGGUGAGGUAACGGCUCACCAAGACCGCGAUGGGUAGCUGGUCUGAGAGGACGAUCAGCCACACUGGGACUGAGACACGGCCCAGACUCCUACGGGAGGCAGCAGUGGGGAAUCUUGCGCAAUGCGCGAAAGCGUGACGCAGCAACGCCGCGUGGGGGAAGAAGGCCUUCGGGUUGUAAACCCCUUUCAGGAGGGACGAAGGUUCGGCGGUGAAUAGCCGUCCGGACUGACGGUACCUCCACAAGAAGCCCCGGCUAACUACGUG
Molecule: ribosomal RNA, 493 nt
Filed under: uncultured bacterium
Lineage: Bacteria
Description: partial 16S ribosomal RNA
Rfam family: Bacterial small subunit ribosomal RNA
Source: RNAcentral